GCUGUGCCGACGCCCAGGACGGGGAGCUGGACGGGCUCUGGACCACCAUCUCCAUCUUCAUCACGCUCUUCCUGCUCAGCGUGUGCUACAGCGCCACCGUGACGCUCUUCAAGGUGAAGUGGAUCUUCUCGUCGGUGGUGGAGCUGAAGCGGACCAUUGUCCCCGACUACAGAAACAUGAUCGGGCAGGGGGCCUAGGGCGCCCUCCAGGGCAGCCAGGGCCGCCCCAGACCCGACAGGACCGCGUCCGUCAGCUCAAGCUGCUCCGCCUGCGCCAGGCCUGCCUCCGCCCUCUGACCUCGCCCACCUCUGGCUCUCGGCCACCUCGCCCGCACCUCUGCCCUUGGGCAUCGCGGCCCCCUCAGAAGGCGCCCCGCACCCCCACCGCCCCUCGGAAGCCCGAGUGGGCAGCAGCUCGGGCCCCGACCUGACUUGAUGGACACCCACCACCACCAGCCCCCGCCAGAGCCACGGGACACCGCCGGGGCCACGUGUCCUCACCAGGAACGCCCGGCUCAGCCAGCAGGUCCAGCCGGCCACGAGGAGACCGGCGUCCAGCGGCUGACGGGACAGGGCCCGGGCUCCCUGUGGACCCCGUCCAGACCGGGCUCCAGAGGCAGAGUCCCCGAGAGGAGGCUCCUGUGUCACAGCCUGGAGUGGGAACAGCUGCCCCCAACGCCAGCAUCUCCCAGCAGGGAAGUUCCCAGACGGGCCACCAACAGGCGCUCAGGUCACCUCCAGCCCAGGGCACUCGAGGGAGGAGGACCUGGGCCCGAGGCCACGGCAGGAGCCCCGGUGGGGACAGAGCGGCCCUGCCCAGGGAGGCCGUGAGGUGCCGCCAGACCGGCCUCCUGGAGGGGGUCCCGCUGACUCGGACCCCCGCAGGCAGGAUGGGCCCUCACUGGAUGCAGGCGGGGGUGGAGGGGCCACCCAGGGUACAGGGAAGCCAGCCCACCCCGAGGUCCGCGGCCUGAGUCACGUCUAUCGGACCAUCCGUCCAUCCAGCAGGAGAUCCUUCUGCCUGCCCCGGGGCCUGGGUGAGAGGUGAAGAACCCCCAGGAGCGAGCCCCAGGCCCCGGACCCCCAAGGCCGCCCCAGAACGGACUCUCCCGCCCUGUCUCUGCGGGAACCCCAAGUGGGUUCACGGCAUCCGGGGAGCAGCCUCGGGACUGGGAGGGAAGGCUCGUCUGCCGAGCUGUGGUCGCUCUUUCUCCUUGGUGAGUGUCUGGAGCCCAGGCACUCUCCUCACUGUUGCUCUCAUUUUUCACAGCAAUAAACCACUUUUACAACCCC
This 1292-nucleotide long non-coding RNA is filed under the name Sus scrofa (pig). RNAcentral's name for it is "lncRNA (ENSSSCG00025047794.1)". The record is from RNAcentral. Lineage: Eukaryota; Metazoa; Chordata; Mammalia; Artiodactyla; Suidae.